AUCACUUCUCGGCCUUUUGGCUAAGAUCAAGUGUAGUAACAAUUAUGAAGAGACCUUCAGAAAUGAAACAGCAAAAGCUGUCUUUCACUGGGAUGUUGCAGCAGGCUGUAAACAGUUUAUUAUCAUUUCUUUCACACUGAAAGCAUUUCUUGAAUGUCAAAAAUGACAUCAA
This 172-nucleotide small nuclear RNA is filed under the name Erinaceus europaeus (western European hedgehog). RNAcentral describes it as "U2 spliceosomal RNA". It matches the Rfam family "U2 spliceosomal RNA". Rfam says of the family: U2 is a small nuclear RNA (snRNA) component of the spliceosome (involved in pre-mRNA splicing). The record is from Rfam by way of RNAcentral. Lineage: Eukaryota; Metazoa; Chordata; Mammalia; Eulipotyphla; Erinaceidae.